This 72-nucleotide transfer RNA is filed under the name Camelus bactrianus (Bactrian camel). It matches the Rfam family "tRNA". From Rfam's summary of the family: Transfer RNA (tRNA) molecules are approximately 80 nucleotides in length. Their secondary structure includes four short double-helical elements and three loops (D, anti-codon, and T loops). RNAcentral also lists the same sequence under 1 other name. The record is from Rfam by way of RNAcentral. Lineage: Eukaryota; Metazoa; Chordata; Mammalia; Artiodactyla; Camelidae.
GAGGGUAUAGCUCUGUGGUAGAUCGCAUGCUUAGCAUGCCCAAGGUCCUGGAUUCAAUCCCUAGUACCUUCA